RNAcentral lists this small RNA (205 nucleotides) under Kitasatospora sp. RNAcentral describes it as "c-di-AMP sequence". It matches the Rfam family "c-di-AMP riboswitch aptamer (ydaO/yuaA leader)". From Rfam's summary of the family: This family represents a conserved RNA structure found upstream of the ydaO and yuaA genes in Bacillus subtilis and related genes in other bacteria. The ydaO/yuaA element is thought to act as a genetic "off" switch for the ydaO and yuaA genes in its native state. It is believed that the element may be triggered during osmotic shock leading to activation of ydaO, a predicted amino acid transporter gene, and members of the yuaA-yubG operon which code for KtrA and KtrB K+ transporters. Lineage: Bacteria; Bacillati; Actinomycetota; Actinomycetes; Kitasatosporales; Streptomycetaceae. The record is from RNAcentral.
UCAUCCGGAACGCCGAGUCCUGCCAUCGGAUGAACAGGCAGCACAGCAAUGCACCAUGGCAGGGGCGGGGGAACCACAGGUAAGUCGCCUGGAUUUGGUCUGAUUUGACCGAUUUCAGGCUUGGGGUGAAGCCGUGCUCACGCACGGCCGGGCAACUCCAGCCCGAAUCCGACAGCUCACCUCGCAGGCGUGGGAGAGGAACGCA